RNAcentral lists this ribosomal RNA (399 nucleotides) under uncultured bacterium. RNAcentral describes it as "bacterial SSU rRNA". It matches the Rfam family "Archaeal small subunit ribosomal RNA", at positions 339 to 737 of the family's 1478-position model. The record is from RNAcentral.
UUAAGAAUCUUUUGCAAUGCGCGAAAGCGUGACAAAGCGAACCAGAGUGUUCUUCCAUAUUGGAAGAACUUUUGCUUACUGUAAAAAAGUAGGCGAAUAAGGACCGGGAAAGACUGGUGCCAGCCGCCGCGGUAAUCCCAGCGGUUCAAGUCGCAGCCACAAUUAUUGGGUCUAAAACAUCUGUAGCUUGCUAUGCAAGUCUCUUGUGAAAUCUCAUAUCUUAAGUAUGGGGCGUGCAAGAGAUACUGCAUUGCUAGGGACUGGAAGACGUAAGGAGUACAUAGAGGGUAUCGGUAAAAUGAGUUGAUCCUAUAUGGACUAACAAUAGCGAAGGCACCUUACGAGUACAGAUCUGACAGUGAGAGAUGAAGGCUAGGGUCGCGAAAGGGAUUAGAUACC